This 337-nucleotide unclassified non-coding RNA is filed under the name soil metagenome. RNAcentral's name for it is "partial contains 5.8S ribosomal RNA, internal transcribed spacer 2, and large subunit ribosomal RNA". The stretch from base 1 to 120 matches the Rfam family "5.8S ribosomal RNA", at positions 35 to 154 of the family's 154-position model. The record is from RNAcentral.
GAUGAAGAACGCAGCGAAAUGCGAUAAGUAGUGUGAAUUGCAGAAUUCAGUGAAUCAUCGAAUCUUUGAACGCACAUUGCGCCCCUUGGUAUUCCAUGGGGCAUGCCUGUUCGAGCGUCAUUUGUACCUUCAAGCUCUGCUUGGUGUUGGGUGUUUGUCUCGCCUCUGCGUGUAGACUCGCCUCAAAAUAAUUGGCAGCCGGCGUUUUGAUUUCGGAGCGCAGUACAUCUCGCGCUUUGCACUCAUAACGACGACGUCCAAAAGUACAUUUUUACACUCUUGACCUCGGAUCAGGUAGGGAUACCCGCUGAACUUAAGCAUAUCAAUAAGCGGAGGA